Molecule: ribosomal RNA, 465 nt
Filed under: uncultured bacterium
Lineage: Bacteria
Description: partial 16S ribosomal RNA
Rfam family: Bacterial small subunit ribosomal RNA
Source: RNAcentral
GACGAACGCUGGCGGCGUGCUUAACACAUGCAAGUCGUACGGUAAGGCCCUUUCGGGGGUACACGAGUGGCGAACGGGUGAGUAACACGUGAGUAACCUGCCCACAACUUUGGGAUAACGCUAGGAAACUGGUGCUAAUACUGGAUAUGUGCUCCUGCUGCAUGGUGGGGGUUGGAAAGCUCCGGCGGUUGUGGAUGGACUCGCGGCCUAUCAGCUUGUUGGUGGGGUAGUGGCCUACCAAGGCGGCGACGGGUAGCCGGGCUGAGAGGGUGACCGGCCACAUUGGGACUGAGAUACGGCCCAGACUCCUACGGGAGGCAGCAGUGGGGAAUAUUGCACAAUGGGCGCAAGCCUGAUGCAGCAACGCCGCGUGCGGGAUGACGGCCUUCGGGUUGUAAACCGCUUUCAGCAGGGACGAAGCUUUUUGUGACGGUACCUGCAGAAGAAGCACCGGCUAACUACGUG